Molecule: ribosomal RNA, 489 nt
Filed under: uncultured bacterium
Lineage: Bacteria
Description: partial 16S ribosomal RNA
Rfam family: Bacterial small subunit ribosomal RNA
Source: RNAcentral
GAUGAACGCUAGCGGCAGGCUUAAUACAUGCGAGUCGAGGGGCAGCAGGACUGUAGCAAUACAGUUGCUGGCGACCGGCAAACGGGUGCGGAACACGUACGCAACCUACCCAAAACUGGGGGAUAGCCCGGGGAAACCCGGAUUAAUACCUCGUAACCUUUUUAAGUGGCAUCACUUGAUAAGUAUAGCUCCGGCGGUUUUGGAUGGGCGUGCGCCUGAUUAGGUAGUUGGUGCGGGUAACGGCCCACCAAGCCUGCGAUCAGUAACUGGUGUGAGAGCACGACCCGUCACACGGGCACUGAGACACGGGCCCGACUCCUACGGGAGGCAGCAGUAAGGAAUAUUGGUCAAUGGACGCAAGUCUGAACCAGCCAUGCCGCGUGAAGGAUGAAGGUCCUCUGGAUUGUAAACUUCUUUUAUGGGGGACGAAACCCGGAUAUUCUUAUCCGAUUGACGGUACCUCAGGAAUAAGCACCGGCUAACUCCGUG